Long non-coding RNA from Hibiscus syriacus, 606 nucleotides. RefSeq lists it as uncharacterized. The transcript has 3 exons. The record is from RefSeq and is a predicted model, not a curated record. Lineage: Eukaryota; Viridiplantae; Streptophyta; Magnoliopsida; Malvales; Malvaceae.
CCCGGUUGUAGCCUGAAAUUGUUAAACCCCCAACAAACAACCUUUCCAUCAGUCCUAAAACGCAACUUCGAUUCAAUCCGAAAGCCGGUUCUUUGAACUGUCCCUUAGGCUGAUCACCCGUAGUGUUUCUGCUUCCCCAACACUAUACCAUCAUCUGAAUUGAUGGCACAAACAUGGCUAAAUCCAGGAGCAAGCAUACUAUAAUUCCCACUAAUUUCUUGACCAGUGAUGCCAGUACAGUUCCCAAGGAAUCUGAUCUUAUUUUGAUCUUCUGUUAACCCAUAUGAAAAUCCUUCACCAACAGCUAUAUCGGAAAAUUUUUGCCCUCCAUCUGUUUGAUUAAACCCAGGCCAUUGCCAACAUUCAAGACCGUUGGUCUCAUUAGGGCCACAAAUAUGAGUGUUGCCUGCUUCAAGCUGGUUAAGAACUGAACCUCAUUAAGUUUAAAAAGGAGCCAUUGCUGGAAGAUCUCCAGCAAAGCAUGACAGAUACAUUGGAUGCUGAAAAAAGUGGUCUCAAACCACAUACGAAUCCAUCCCCAGAGACAAUCCUAGAAAACGAGUCGCUGGAAUCAAAAGGGUUUUCAAAACCAGAAACGUGGAACCU